UCGCGGAUCAGCAUGCCGCGGUGAAUACGUUCCCGGGCCUUGUACACACCGCCCGUCACACCACGAGAGUCUGCAACACCCGAAGUCGGUGAGGCAACCUUUUAGGAGCCAGCCGCCGAAGGUGGGGCAGAUGAUUGGGGUGAAGUCGUAACAAGGUAUCCCUACCGGAAGGUGGGGAUGGAUCACCUCCUUU
Molecule: ribosomal RNA, 193 nt
Filed under: Thermoactinomyces intermedius
Lineage: Bacteria; Bacillati; Bacillota; Bacilli; Caryophanales; Thermoactinomycetaceae
Description: partial 16S ribosomal RNA
Rfam family: Bacterial small subunit ribosomal RNA
Source: RNAcentral